This is a long non-coding RNA of Phacochoerus africanus (Common warthog), 700 nucleotides long. RefSeq lists it as uncharacterized. The transcript is spliced from 4 exons. Lineage: Eukaryota; Metazoa; Chordata; Mammalia; Artiodactyla; Suidae. The record is from RefSeq and is a predicted model, not a curated record.
GCGCGGGGGGGGGUGGUGGGUGGGCGCCGGUCCGAAGGGCGCAGGCUCCGGGCUGGCGCCGCGUGUGCGCGGACGGAGGCGUGGCCGCGGUGCCCUCGUGGCGCUCACGUGCGGGGCGCCCAGCGAACAGCUGGCUGGACACUUCUUCAAGGACCAGAUCAGCAAGCAGAGUCACCUUUUGGAGCCACCACCCAGGUCCGCCUUGAUGGGUCAGCACCACGGAGAGCAGCUCACCUCACACCCAAGCCUGGAGCACUGUCACUGUGGCGUCUACACCUUUGGUGACCGCAGAGGGAUGCAGAGCAGGCUUCUCUCCUUUGCUGGAACGCGGCAGCCUCCAGAGCCGAGGUACCUGCGGAGGCGGCUCGGGCCUCUCCUUCUCCGAGCGUCCAGAUGCACCAGGAACCACAAACUCCCUCAGCAGCCACACCACCUUGCAUUCCCUCCAGCAACACACAAGUCACUGGCACCUGCUGACCGCGACGUGAGAAGAACCCGCCUGAGCAUGAGGCCAACACAGAGCAGAGAGAGAAUUUCCCUAUGGCAAUUUGUUGAGCAGCUAGAUCAAGUCCUACCUGAAGCUGUUUCUACCAGUUGACUUUUCAGUUAUGCCAAGUUUUGCAUUUCUGUUUUCCAUCAUGAGUGAGUUUGAGUUUGGCUUCUGUCCAUCACAAAUGAAAAAGCCCUCUGUGACACACCA